Molecule: ribosomal RNA, 408 nt
Filed under: uncultured bacterium
Lineage: Bacteria
Description: bacterial SSU rRNA
Rfam family: Bacterial small subunit ribosomal RNA
Source: RNAcentral
AUUGAACGCUGGCGGCAUGCCUUACACAUGCAAGUCGAACGGCAGCGGGGGCUUCGGCCUGCCGGCGAGUGGCGAACGGGUGAGUAAUGCAUCGGAACGUGCCCUGAAGUGGGGGAUAACGCAUCGAAAGAUGUGCUAAUACCGCAUAUUCUCUGAGGAGGAAAGUAGGGGAUCGAAAGACCUUAUGCUUUUGGAGCGGCCGAUGUCUGAUUAGCUAGUUGGUAGGGUAAUGGCUUACCAAGGCGACGAUCAGUAGUUGGUCUGAGAGGACGACCAGCCACACUGGGACUGAGACACGGCCCAGACUCCUACGGGAGGCAGCAGUGGGGAAUUUUGGACAAUGGGCGCAAGCCUGAUCCAGCAAUGCCGCGUGAGUGAAGAAGGCCUCGGGUUGUAAGUACGUCUUUC